CAAGAUCAGGAAGUGUUCUUAUUUGUAGUAAGUUCAUUCUAUUCAAAUUAGGUAUCCUUUGGAAUAGGAAACGUUUUCAGCCAUUGUACAUUAUUGAACUUUUAUUUUGUCUACCGUGUACAAAGUACCUGUGAGAUGGGGAUACAAAGACAUUUUCCAAAUUUUGGGCUCCAGUCGAUUCUUGUGUAUUACGCUGUGAGCAAGACUUGCAUGUCGUCACAGAGAACGGGGCACUAUCCCUGAUAAAGAUUGUGGGAGUUGGCUUCCUACAGCAUCGAUCACAUGGCUUUAACCCACGAGCAAGAUGGCUGAAGCUGAAGAAUGGGCUGGAUCACAAAAAUAGAUUUUCUGUCUGAGGUUUAAUAUGCUUUCUUUCUUUCUUUCUUUCUUUCUUUUUUUUUCUGAAGACUGAGUCUAGCUCUGUCACCCAGGCUGGAGUGCAGUGGCACUAUCUCAGCUCAC
RNAcentral lists this long non-coding RNA (462 nucleotides) under Homo sapiens (human). Its description in RNAcentral is "HSALNT0309961". The record is from RNAcentral. Lineage: Eukaryota; Metazoa; Chordata; Mammalia; Primates; Hominidae.